Molecule: long non-coding RNA, 1588 nt
Organism: Gavialis gangeticus (Gharial)
Lineage: Eukaryota; Metazoa; Chordata; Crocodylia; Gavialidae
Exons: 3
Source: RefSeq, a predicted model, not a curated record
UAGCCGCAUGGGCAGAGACCUCCCAUUACUGAUUGCAAAUGGCCUGGUCCUGUGGAUGGGCGGUGUGGCUGUUACACCAUCCUAGGGCUUGUAGGGCAAUGCCCUGACUGUGUAGCCUUAAUUGCAAAGCGACUGUACUUAGAACAGUAAACCGAAAGCUUUAUAAGCUCUAUAUGCCAGAGUUGGGUGGGGGGAGGACUUUCUAUCUUAAACAUAUUGUGGUGUUGGCAGCUACAGAAAAAAAGAAACCUUGACCAUGAUUCGUGCGGGUGAGCGGAAAUGGUUCUUGACUCAUCAGGAGCUGUGUUUGUGACGUUUCCCAGGCCACCUGUUACUGGCUGAGACUCUCAGCGCCAUUCUGAUGUGUGCCUGAAAACCACUGCAGUUGCCCUGAAAAGAGGAAGAGCCUGUUAAACCUGGAGUCGUCACAAAGUUCUCUUCCUCUGCUUGUCUCUGAUUCCAGGGGAGUGCUUCCAAGAAGAAAGAGUUUGUGAUCAGUCUUCAAUACACAGAUACGUGGGAUAACUGCAUCCUGUCUUAUGCCAUAUGGGGCAGUGACUUCUUGGAAAAUGUCUCUCCUCUGGAUUAAGGUGACCCAAGCAUCUUUACUGUUAAUAUUAAUUUCAGCCUUUACAGCUCUGUUACAAUGGUGCUUUUCUCAAAAGAAGAAAAUUCCUCCUACUCAAGAUCAUGCUCUGAUAAUAAAUGUUAAAUAUUCUAUUUACUCUUUAAAGAAACAGCACUGAUUUUUUUUAAAUGUCAAUUCCUUGCCUGUGCUGCAAGUAAUAACACAGAUCAACUGAAGAACAUUUUAAAAGUCAGAAUGCCUCCUCAUCAUUUUGGCUGUUUUGCUUCACUCGGUGGGGGAGACUAGUCGUUUCGCUCUCUGGGUCUGUGCAGUAACCGUUGUGCAGCAAAGCUAAAUGUUUCAUGGAAGAGCUCCAUGCUGAAAAUUAUUCAUGGGCUUCCUUUUCUCCUGUUUCCCCCCUUUUUUUUCCUGUUCCUCUUUUUUCCUUGAAGAAACCUUGCUAAAGAUUUCCUAGCCUAACCUUUUUCCUUCUUGUCGUUUAAAGAUGCCAGGGAAGAUGCAUAAAAAAGCUGGGAUAUAAAGAAAGCAGGUUACCUUUCAGUGCACAAAAAACACCUGCAAUUCCAUUGAGGGGGCCAAAGUAAUAACAAGAGUUAUUAAGAUUAAAAAACCCCCAAAAACCCAAACCCUAUGCAGAUGCCUUGUUGCUUAUUAGUGCUCAGGUGUUUAUUUCUGGUAGUCAGUCUUGGUGCUGUAGUGCUGCUGGAAGGGGCUAAGUCGACAGCUCCAGAAAAGGACAUCCUUUUCGCAUAGAAUAAGGUAUGGCUUAGGGUAGUCAAGUAUGCACGUUGUUCAGUGUCCACGUCCUAUUCAGUCCUUGCCCUCUGUACUGUGAUUGCCAAGAUCAGCGAUGGUUUUGUGACAUGGACAUUGACUCAGCUGAACAGAUGGUAGCACAGUUAAGUCCCAGAUCUAGGUUGAUCAUAUCAUUUGAUCUAGCACUUCAUAUUUAUUGCCAACUGCUGGACCUAUCAAAGGAAGCAUCAGCUUCAAAUUAUU